This is a long non-coding RNA of Salvelinus fontinalis (brook trout), 814 nucleotides long. RefSeq lists it as uncharacterized. NCBI's taxonomy places the organism in Eukaryota, Metazoa, Chordata, Actinopteri, Salmoniformes, Salmonidae. The transcript is spliced from 2 exons. The record is from RefSeq and is a predicted model, not a curated record.
ACGGUGCAGGUUUCCUGGUGACGACGCGGACAUAAGCGCUGAGGGGGCCCACCUCCUUCCCCAACACAUUUUCCACCUCGUAACCUGGGAACUGCAGCACAUGAACAAUCAACCUAACCAUGGAUCUAUAGGCAUAGGACCUGAGCCCUAGGACCAUACGUCAGGGCUGCCGGGCAUGAUGGCUCCUUGCUGUCCCCAGUCCACCUGGCCUUGCUGCUAUUCCAGUUUCAACUGUUCUGCCUGCGGUUAUGGAACCGCCACCUGUCCCAGACCUGCUGUUUUCAACUCUUAAUGAUCGGCUAUGAAAAGCCAACUGAAAAUUAUUCAUGAUUAUUAUUUGACCAUGCUUGUCACUUAUGAACAUUUUGAACAUCUUGGCAUAGUUCUGUUAUAAUCUCCACCCGGCACAGCCAGAAGAGGACUGGCCACCCCUCAUAGCCUGGUUCCUCUCUAGGUUUCUUCCUAGGUUUUGGCCUUUCUAGGGAGUUUUUCCUAGCCACCGUGCUUCUACACCUGCAUUGCUUGCUGUUUGGGGUUUAAGGCUGGGUUUCUGUACAGCACUUCGAGAUAUUAGUUGAUGUACGAAGGGCUAUAUAAAAUAAACUUGAUUGAUUGAUUGAGGUAAGUGCUGUCUGCAUAAAAAGGCAGGUACAGCGUAUUACAUAACAUGUGAGAGAGAGAGAGCUCACCUCAUGGCCAGAGGCUGCACAGUUCAACACAGACAUGAUGGUGCUCUGCUGGAGCUAGAAAACAGUAGAGAGAAUAGUCACCAUACUAGUUGAAUAAAUGGUCUGGACUGGACUGUCAAACUAGA